CCUACGGGUGGCUGCAGUGGGGAAUAUUGGGCAAUGGGCGCAAGCCUGACCCAGCCACGCCGCGUGAAGGAAGAAGGCUUUCUGGUUGUAAACUUCUUUUCUGAGGGAUGAAGAAAGUGACGGUACCUCCGGAAUAAGCCACGGCUAACUACGUGCCAGCAGCCGCGGUAAUACGUAGGUGGCCAGCGUUAUCCGGAUUUCUUGGGUGUAAAGGGCGUGUAGGGGGGAAAGCAAGUCAGAUGGGAAAACUAAGGGCUCAACCCUGGGCCUGCAGUUGAAACUGUUGUUCUUGAGUGCGGGAGAGGCAAGCGGAAGGCGGUGUGUAGCGGUGAAAUGCAUAGAUAUCACGCAGAACUCCGAUUGCGAAGGCAGCAUACCGGCGCCCAACUGACGCUGAAGCACGAAAGCGUGGGUAUCGAACAGGAUUAGAUACCCGAGUAGUC
RNAcentral lists this ribosomal RNA (443 nucleotides) under uncultured bacterium. Its description in RNAcentral is "partial 16S ribosomal RNA". It matches the Rfam family "Bacterial small subunit ribosomal RNA", at positions 338 to 795 of the family's 1533-position model. The record is from RNAcentral.